RNAcentral lists this long non-coding RNA (13400 nucleotides) under Cricetulus griseus (Chinese hamster). RNAcentral's name for it is "lncRNA (ENSCGRG00015036175.1)". The record is from RNAcentral. Lineage: Eukaryota; Metazoa; Chordata; Mammalia; Rodentia; Cricetidae.
CAGAGUCCUGGUUUUCAUUAGAUCUUAGGUGGCCAAGGGGAAGUGCCAUUGUGAACCUUGGUUAUUUUGUCCAACACUAAAGGGCCAUUACCAUUGUAGAUGAUCACUUUGAGAACAAUAUAUAGGAAGAGUGCAAAGGCUGGGGAAACACUUCCCUAGUUCCAGAUACUAUGAAACAUCUAUGCAAACUCCUCUGUGCUGGGUGUGGUAGUACACAUCUCUCUAGUCACUGCACUCAGCCACAGGCUGAGACAGAAUGAACUGCAGUUUCCAGGUCAGCCUGGACUACCUAGUUAUUUUAAGGCUAAGCCUGGAUUGUAUAGCUAGACUCCUAUCUAACCUAACCAAACCAAUCCAAACAAAACACAAACAAAAACAAAAAACAGUCACCGACCAAUGAAGGAAGAGAAUACAAAAAAGCCCUUAAUACCACAAGUUUAGUUUUAUGAAGGGUCUCACUUGACUCAUAUUCUCUCCCAACACUGUGUGUGUGUGUGUGUGUGUGUGUGUGUGUGUGUGUGUGUGUUGCUGGUGAGUGAACAUGGGAUUUCACACACACACUAGGUAAGUGUUCUAUCACUGAGCUAACCCAUCUUUCCCUUAUAUUUUUAAGGAUAUUUAAUUUUAUGUCCUUGUGAGUUUUAUUUUCUCAUAGCAGAACUCAGUUUCGCACCUAUUUUCUUUAUCUUUUGCCUAUGCACUCCAUGCCCCACCAGCACAUUCUAGGAAAUGUCACCCAAGAAUGUUCAUUCAGGUUUGUUAAUCUUUCGUCAGUACUCUGUUCCUUAAGAGCUUCCUACAUAGUGGAUGUUCACAUUCCCUAACAGUGACAUUUUUUCACACAUUUUAGAAAAAUAAGUUCUCAUUAUCUGCUGUCUUCUGACAUUUGACAGUCUUCUCUUUUUUGACUACAGCACAUCCUGCAAUACCAACUUACCUAAACCACUCUUCUUUAACAUAAGCGCAAAUAGUAAAACUGCAGUAAAUAGCUGAUCUUUGCCCCAUUUGUUUUGCAUGCUGAUUUUAAAUAUGUACUCUCAUGCAUUACUGCAUUACUUUUAGUCUUCCACUUGUGUCCAAACCAUGGUUAAAGUUGCAACACUGUCUUUUAGUCUCAGCAUGUCUCUUCUUUGCCCCUUGCUUCACACAUGCCCCAGACUUGAGUUAUGAGUUAUCAUUUUCAGAGGCAUAGAUGUAUUACCCUGGGUUGCAAACUGACACACCUGCAUUAUCACUGAAAAAGCAAUGAAUUAGCACAAGAGUCUCUAGUCCACUUUAUAGUCUAGUCAUUCAGGCUCUGUGACUAGUGUGUAUAGAAUUUAGACCAAAAACAAUCCGUGAAUGGGAUGGAGGAGUGCUGGAGCAUCCUCUGACCACUCUAUAUGUGUUACUGCUUUUGUAUCAGCCUUGUUGGUCAUCAGAGUAUGCAAACUACCCACUACUGAUUUGUCUUAGUUACGGUUUCCAUUUCUGUGAAGAGACAGCAUCUACAACAACUCUCACAAGGAAAACAGUUACAGUUUCAGAGAUUCAGUUCAUUAUCAUGUAUGGGAGCAUGGCAGCAUGCAGGCAGACAUGGUGCUGGCUACAUCUUUAUGAAAAGGCUACAGGAAGUGGACUCAAGCAUGGCUUUGGUAUAUAUGAGACCCCAAGCCCACCCCCACAGUGACAUAUUUCCUCCAACAAGGCUAUACCUACUCCAACAAAGCCACUCCCUUCUAGGGGCCAAUUACAUUCAAACUAUCACAUGAUUGCUUCAGGAUUUGCUGAACUAAGAAAUGGGCAGGUGAGAGUAUUUAGCAGGCACUAUGCAGGUGCACCUUCCCCUCUGUGAUGCUGAGUGAAGGGAUCAAUUGUGAGACUUUCCAAGCUCUGGGUAGUGGGUAUUAGCAGAGGGAGGGGAAGAGCUCUCACUGUGUUUCCUUCUGCUCUAGUUGGUACUGAGUGUUGCAGACACUAACCAGGACUGAACAUGGUACUCCCUGACUCAAAUCUUAUGGGUGAUCACUGGAAAUCUCCAUGUGCCUGAACACUGAUGGUUUGUUUUUCUGGCGUGUGCUCUGUUUCUAUAUAAAGCAACAGAUGUUUUGUUUUUGCCUCUUUCCUCUCUGUCCGUGGCUCAGAACGUGGGUGAUAUUAACCAACUGUGACAGGUUUCAGGUUUUUAUUUAUAGCAGUGGAGACUGUUUUUUUAUGUAUUUGGAGAUUUCUAGGCCUCAGAAGCUGAUACUUUGUGUAUUCUCAACUUAAAAUCCUAAAGGGCAGGAGUUCUAGAAACUGGACAUUUCUAAAAGUUAAGCAUUAGUGUCAGCAGGGAGUAUAGAAUUGGAGGAAACCAAUGAAAUUUCGUAUCUUUCACCAAGGCAAAAAUUCAUAAUGGCUUAGACGGUUCUGUGAAGUUUUAAUUAUAGAUAUAUGUACCUUGCUAUAUGAAAUGAUUUCUUACUUGGCACAUGAUCAAAAACACUCACAAGAUUAAAAGGGUUCAUGUAGAGAGAUCAAAGUGCUGACUGCUUUGAUCAUUUAUUUUGGUUAACAUCAAUGUCUGCAUGCACUGUCCAUCUAUCUCCAUUUCUAAGUGUUUAUCCAAAACAAAUGGAAGUAGGUCUCAUACAAAUACUUUAGCACUAACAUUCCAAGACACUUCAUGUGUAAUAACCAAGAAGUAGAAACAAUCAAAACAUUCAUCGGAUGCAUGGAUAAAGUGGCAUGUGUGCUUGAUGGAAAUGCUACUUGACAAUAAAUGAGAUGCAAAGUAUUGAGACAGUUCACAUAUUAAAAUAAGCAUGGCAGCUGGAGAGAAGGCUGUUUGGCAGAGUUCUUGCUGCACAAGCAUGGGGAUCUGGUACAGAUCCCCAGUGUCCAUGUUAAAAGCCGAGCAUACAGUGUCCUCCAGUAAUCCUAGUACUGAGGAGGCAAGCACAAGGGGAUCCCUGGAGCUCACUGGCCAGCUAGUCUAGGCAUACUGGUGAGGCUCAGGUUCAGUGAGAGGCUCCUUCUCAAAAGAUGGAGGGGCCGGGGCAGGGAGGGGGUGGUGGUGACCAACAGAGAACAAUGUGUACCAUUAACCUCCAUUAACCUCUUACCUUCACAUGCAUACACACACACACACACACACACACACACACACACACACACUGGGGGGGGGUCAUGCCAAAAAGGUCCAUCAAAAAAAUAUACAUUGCACAGUUGGAUUUAUGUAAAACUCUAGGAAAUGCAAAUUAAAUAAUUUUCUCAUAGAAACUGAAAAUGGUGUUGUGUCUUUAAUUUUAGUUCCAUGUGUUUAUUGUUAGUAUAGAGGGAAAAAAACUGUUGUUUUUUUUUUUUUUUUUUUGUAUCUGUGACUUAGUCAUAGAAGAGUUGGUGGUUUUCUUUUUCUUUCUUUUUUUUUGAGAUUUCUUAUGUUCUAUUUUGACAAUAAAAUGCUCUUCAAUUAAAGACAGUUUCUUUCUUACUAUCUGCUGUGGCUUUUAUUUGUUCUUCUUGCCUGUUAUAGUUUCCAGAACUUCCAUUAAUGUGUCAAACAUGACUGGUAAGCAGCCACCUUCCCUGUCAUGUUCCUAAACUCAGAAGGAAAACAUUCACUCUUUCACCACUGUGAUGGCACCUGUUCUUUAUGAAACCGAUCAAGUUCCUUCUGGUUAUAUUUUUCUGAGUGUAUUUUUUUUUUUUUAUCAUGAAUGGGUGUUGAAUCUGUCAAAUACUUUUUAUAGGUCCUUCUCUAUACAGCUGCUCAAUAUUUAACCCUUGUUCUCUGCGGCUCUUACAAUUUUUUUUCCACCUCCCACUUCCUCGAUUUUUCCUGAAUUUUAGUCGUGGAUGUCUCAAUCAUGGUUGGGUAUCCCACAGCCACUUGUUCUCCGAACUCUCUGAUCUGUGGAUCUCUGUAAUAGUCCCUAUCUGUUGAAGAAAAGAAAAAAAGAAGAAGAAGAAGAAGAAGAAGAAGAAGAAGAAGAAGAAGAAGAAGAAGAAGAAGAAGAAGAAGAAGAAGGAGAAGAAGAAGAAGAAGAAGCUUGUUUGAUCAGGGUUCAGAGAUACACUUCUGUGGAUACAAGUGUUAUUCUUUUGUUUAAGCUGCAGCUGCUGAUACAAAGAAAGGAACAACUGAUAAACAACCCACGUGGAGUUUAUUUACCACAAAAGGGGGGAGAGAGGGAUGGGUAGUCAGCCAACCCAAGAGGAGCCAAAAGGAAGAGAGCAAGGGAUGGGUGGCAGAACCUUUUAAAGGAAAGGUUGCAUAUGCGCACUGGGGUUUUGCACCUCACAGGUUGCAAUGCAUGGCGGGUGAGUGCCCCGUUGUUAGGGGACUGGGUCAGGGUCAUCCAGGUGUAUUGUUCUUACAACAAGGGUAAGUAUUCAGAAUGAAAUUAGGAAUAUCAGGGGCUGGAGAGAUGGCUCAGAGGUUAAGAGCACUGAUUGCUCUUCUAGAGGUCCUGAGUUCAAUUCCCAGCAACCACAUGGUGGCUCACAACCAUCUGUAAUGAGAUCUGGUGCCCUCUUCCUGCCUGCAGGCAUACAUGCAGGCAGAAUAUUGUAUACAUAAUAAAAUCUUUUAAAGAAAAAUGUUUAAAAAAAAAAGAAAUUAGGAAUCAGAGUGGAUUAGGAAAAUGGCAGCAGUAGGGUCUACAACCUCUCUAGCUGUUUGUAGUUGGCCAAGGUUUAUAGUACUACUGAGCAGGCCUUAGACCCAAUUAAAAAGCUGUUGGUUACUCUCAAGAUAAAAACAUCACUAUUGCACCACUGAGGAUAUCUUGCCUAGCUGCUCCUUGUGGUUCAUGGGCUUUAAAGCUUGGCAGGACAAUUGAUUAAUUUUUCUCCCCCAGCAGCUUUCUUGACACAUUAUGAACAUAUCUCUUCCAUGAACUUAGCAUUUAAGCCAGCAACUUGACCUUGGGUUAAGUACAUUGAUCUUCAUAAUGUACAUGGACCUCAUUCAGUCAGUGAAGGCCUUACUGUCAAGAGACUGGUGUCUUCAGCAAGAGACCUCUCUCUCUGCGGGUUACUUUCUUACUCAAACGGCAACCUUUUCCUUAGUUUUCAGGCCACCUCUUACCCUGAAAAUUUUGGACUUGCCAAUUUGUACAAUCCCAUGAGCCAUGUCCUUAAGAUCCAUCUCCUGACACAAGCACACACACCAUUGGUUCCAGCUCUCUGGAGACCCCUGAAUAACAGGACAACACACUCAAUGCUGCCAAGAUCAGUGAUUAAUUCCUUACAUCUAUCUCAUCUCACCGAAACUGCUAGCAACCUCCUUCUUGAAAUCUUCCGCAAACUACCUUUGUGUGGGGGACGGAAUAUCCCUGUUAUGGAAUAUUCUAGGACCCAGGCCCUGGCUGACAUAAACAGCACUGGCGCAUUGUAUUGUUAGUUAACACCAGGCUGUAACUGUUUAUGGUGGCCGAAAGGUGAUAUGCCUCCUAAUUUGCAUCUCUGUAGCUUAAGAGAUGCAUCUCUGUAGCUUAAGCCUUGAGUAGGCCCAUACCUGGGCUCAAGACUCUGCCUGCUUGACCAAGAGCUAUUUAGGCAACAGAAUCACUUGAUGUUAGCAAUAUGCAUUGUGAAAGAUGCUUCCUGAUGUUACCCCUGCCCUUAGAGGACUAUUUAAAUGGACCUCUCAUUAAACUGGGGCUGCUCGGGCGUCAGCUGGGAGCCCUCCUGAGAUGAUACGGUGUUUCCUGUCUUAUCAUUAGCGUCGUUGGGUAAUUAAACUUCCCUAGUCCACACACCUCCACUCAGGAACCGACCCGGGACUGUACGGCUGGCUCCGUCCACAGUCCUGAAGACAUCGGUGAACUGAAGAUAGGCAGUUCUCUAGGAGUCCUCCAAGCCUUCAGAGCCUGAUUCAGACUACUGAGGCAUCCAGCCUUAUAGGCAGAUCAGCUACUGACUUUUCAGCCUCUCCAGCAUGAGGCUGGCUACGAAGAUAAUAUUGGUUAAGCCAAUCUAAUAAAUCUAAUUGUUUGCUUGGGUUUGUUCCUCUAGAGAAUCCUGAGUAAUGUAUGUGUAAAGUGCUGUCUUGGUUUUCCAUCUAUUUCAUUGGCAUCUGCAACAUCCAAAAUGGAACUCAGCCUCUACCAUUUACUCCUUUUUUCCCUUCUCUCCAUCAGCCUUCAUCAUCCACCAAUCCAUGCAACUGCUCUAAUGCCUCCUCUACUCAGGAGUGUUUGGUAGCAUGCCUGACCUUCUCUACUCUUAGAGUGAUCUUAAAUCUGUCCACUCUUGGAAAUCUCUGCAGGUCUCUUGGUCAAGCCCUAUUUGUCUCUCCAGCACCGCAGUGCGCUUUUCAGCCUUUCAGUGUGCAUUUAACAUACAUCAUUUCCUGGGAAUGCAUCUUCUGAUCCCCGCCUAUACUAUACAUUUUCACAAAUCUUUGGUUUUGUGAGCAAAAUUCCUUGUGUCAUAUUAAGAUUUUAGUUUCCUGGAUGUGUAUUAUAAUAGUCUCUCAAUCUCUCUCUCUCUCUCUCUCUCUCUCUCUCUCUCUCUCUCUCUCUCUCUCUCUCUCUCUCUCUUUGUGUGUGUGUGUGUGUGUGUGUGUGUGUGUGUGUAGCAGGAAAACUGACAUUUUGAUAUUCAAUCUUCCUCCUGGUAUCUCUGGUGUAGGGCAGGAAUUGUAAAAAUAUUUAUUGAAAGCUGAUUGAACAAGUGACUUGAUGUUGGUUAUCAUGGCUCACAUCUUUAGUCACAGCACUCAGGAAACAGGCAUCAGAUCUCUGAGUUUGAAGCUAGCCUAAUCAAUAGUGAGUUCCAAGUCAACUAGAACUACAUAGUGAUAUCUUCUCUCUCUCUCUCUUUUUUUUUUAAAGAGUGGCUUGAUAUAAAGACAGCAGAAUCAGAAAGUUUACAUAUAGAAUUACCCAUUACUUUACUGUUUUAGAAAAGGAUGAUCUGCCUCUAGUGACUUGUUUUCUCUAUCUUAUGGAAGAAUUAUAUGAGAUUCUUUUAGCACUCUUCAUCUGAGACAUCUUAACAAGAACUGUGAGACUACCGCAUGACCAAAUGCACAUUUUCAUAUUCAGGAUUUACAUCCAUACUUUUUAAAGGAACCCAGAGGAUUUCCUCUGUUGUUUCUAUAUGGACACUGCAUUGCUUCUUCUCUCUGAAAAUGGACACAGUCAUGCCUCAGUUAACUUGGGGAUACGUCCUGAGAGGCACAUUAUUACUCAAGUUUGCCACUGAGCAAACAUCAUAAAAUACACUUAUAUAAACUUGUAUAGAAUAGCCUACUACUUACCUAGACAGUAUAGGAAAGCAUGUUGCUUCCACAUGCAUGAUUUUUUAAAAGUGUGAGAUGAUAUUAUGCACAGGAAAAAUGAUGCAAUCAAGAGACACAAUAAACAUGAGAUAGCCAGACUGAUACCAGCAUAAUAUGGCAUAUUGAUUUUGCUUAAUGUAACUCUUAAACACUCUAACAUAACAUGAUUAAUGUAAAUACAGAAUCCAACAAUGUAGUCAAUAUCAAGUAUUCUAGGCACACAUAACUGUACAUACCAUCUACUACACUCUUACUAGAUGCAUAGGUGAUUUAUUGAUACAAACAUGAAUGACACAUUACUCUUAGCUCUUCAUGAUAGCUACAAUGUAAAUCAUUGAUAGGAGCUGUGCACCUUCCUUACACUCCUAUGGGAGCACUAUCAAAUGUAUGGUCAUUUUUUGAGGCACAUUUAACUUACAGAAGUAUGGUAUAGAACAAAAGGAGAAACAUUUGCACAUAAUUUUUCUGCUUUGCAGUUUACUGGUGCUUAUUCUAUUGUUCUGCUAAAAUAAAGCCAAUUAAGAUCUUUAAAUUGCUAUGUGCUCACACACACACACACACACACACACACACACACACACACACACACACACACAGUGUGUGUAUGUAUGUAAACCAAUUUAGAAAAUUUUUAAGGGAUUUUAUUCCGACAUGUUGGGGCCAUUCCCAAGUUUCCAAAGCAGGCAGGUUUUUUAAAAAAGAUUUAUUUAUUUAUUUAUCAUGUAUAUAGUGCGUGCCAGAAGAGGGCACCAGAUCACAUUACAGAUGGUUGUGAGCCACCAUGUGGUGCUGGGAAUUGAACUCAGAACCUCUGGAAGAACAGUCAGUGCUCUUAACCCCUGAGCCAUCUCUCCAGCCCCCAAUUUAGAAAUCUUAAUUGGUUUUGUUUUAGAUUCUAGAAUCAAGCAGCUUCAUUCCACAAAAUAAAAUAAAUGUUCCAAUGAUCCAAACACAGGGGGAUGGCCUUACAGAGAGAAAAGAUCUGAUGGAAAGAGAAACAAACAACAAAAAGUAGAUUGGUUAUUUCUAGUUACUGUCCUUGUAAGGACAGGACAAGGAUUCGAGACACUAGAUAACUGGUUUGUUAACCUCAGGUUAUUUCUUUUUAUAAGAAUUAAACCACAGGAAAAUUUUAUCAUGUCAAUUGAAACUGGGUUGCUUGGAGAAUUUAGUUGUUAUCUCUCUGCUCUUGAUUUCUCAGGUCAGUAGACAGUUUCAGCUUGGUGAUGGGGAACUGUAAAGUGAGCAACUCCCAUCUUUAUUUUUAGCCUGGUGUGCUGGGGCCCAGUGAAGGAGUCUAGCCUAAAACGAUGGCCUCCUGAAAUUCUUAUUUAACACUUAGAAAAAAAAUGCACUAAGAUGCAGAAAUAGAGACUCAAUAAUAGUAAGUAUCAUGACCAAUGAAAAAUAGCUGUAUUUGGAUGGAUAAAUCAACACACAGAUUACAGGAACUUUUAGUACCUACCCUAGAGGGAUGCAUACAGACAUAUAUAUAUAUAUAUAUAUGUGUGUGUGUGUGUGUGUGUGUGUGUGUGUGUGUGUGUGUGUGUGUGUGUAUUCAUCUUACGGUUUUUAUUGUUGUGAAAAGAUACCAUGACCAAGGUAACCCUUGUAAAGAAAACAUUUAAUUGGGGUGGUUUUCUUACAGUUUCAGAGGUUCAGUCCAUUAUCAUGACUGGGAGCUUGGCAGCGUGCAGGCUGAUGUGGUGGAGAGAUAGCUGACGGGUCCUACAUCUUGCAGGCAAUAGGACAUUCACUGACUGUCACAUUGAGUGAAGCUUGAGAAAAACACCUCAGAGUCCACUCCCUCAGUGACACAUCCCUCAGAAGCCCCAUCUCCUAAUAGGACUCCCUUUGAGGACCAUUUUCUUUCAAACUACACACAUACACACCUGGAAUAAAAAUAAUGUUGUCACUUUCAAGGUCAAUUCUUUGUACUCACAGUUUUGCAUGUUAGAUGCAGUACUGUAAGUCAAUCAAUGCACAGAGAAGAUGAUCUGAAUGAUAAAUGUUCCCCAUAGUCUCAGAUAUUUAAACACAUGGCACCCAACUAGUAGUGCUGUUUGGGGAGUUGGUGCAACCUGGCAGGAUGAAGUCACUAGAGACAGAUUAUGAGAGCUCAUAGCCUCACCUAACUUCCAGUUUCCUCUCUCUGCUCUAUGUUUGUGAUUGAAGGUGUCUGGUCUCACAGCUUCCUGCCCUGUCUCCUGCUACCAUGCCACCUUCACAAUUAUGGACUCUCCAUCUGACACUUUAAUCCCAAAUAUUAUGACUUUGGGCAUGAUACCUUAUUAUUGCAUCAGAAAUGUAAAUAACACAUGGUCUUCUAUCAUUAUCUACCUGUGUGAAAGUCAGUUAACUGUUGACAUGAACUUCAUUUCUUAAAUAGGAUGAAAAUAUCAGCCCUGUAUAACCCAAGGAAUACUUUAAAAAUCACCUGAAAUUAAUGUAUGUAAAAGCCUUUGAAAACAUAUAAUCCAGCAAGUUUUUCAUAUUAUUGGAUUUUGAAAGUAAAAACUGAAAACAAACACUGGAAAUGGGACAGAAAAUUACUAUGGAAAAUAGUAGAAAAGAGAGAUAGGUAUCUUUAAAAUAAUCUCUGGCUUUGGACAGCCAGUAACUUCUGAGAACAGAGAGUGUCUGCAAACUGAAGGCCUGUGGGAAUGCUGAAGUUCCUCAGAACUAUUCAGCCCAAAUUAGUACUGAAGACAGUGAAGUGGAUGAGGGGAGGGGCAGAGGUGGAUUCUCUGCUUAGUCUUAGCCAUUAAUUCACACUGCUCUCUGAGCAGACUCCCAUUCUAAUAUGUCUAUUUAUCUCCCCGGGCUACUUACUGGGACCAAGACAAGCUGAGCCAGUGAUUGCAGUGGAGCCCUCAGCCAUUGCAUCAGAUGGCAGGGUUAUCCUUAUGGUCACAGAGGAUUCUAUAAGGUGCCAACCUUGCUAAAGCAGAGAGAGCAUCAAUAAGCAUCUUACCUAGCUAAGCAUAGGAAGAGCCGGCCCUUUCUGGAUGCUCAGCACUUUCACAUCUCUCAUUCCUGGGAAAAUUCCAGCAGCACAUACUCCUUGGUCUGGUGGGACUGCCGAUGCUGUCUUAGACCCUGGAUACCAUAUGUGAGAUGAGAAUAAUAGUAAUUAUUUUUUCUGAUAGAAAGAGACAUUUAUCCCUAUAUAUGAGAAUCAUUAUGCUGUAGUUAAAAAAAACAAACUCAACCUCUGGAUUCAAGUAAAACAGACCAUGAAGAUAAAGCAAACACAGCUCUGCUAACAGUAAUUCAACUUCAUGAGUUAGAAAACCUCCCACUUAAGACAAGUCAGUUACAAACCGAUAGACAGGACAACUGAGUAAAGGAAGCCUUCAGAUAAGUUAGAAAGAUAUAUACCCUUUCCCUAUGGGCUGCCACAGUUUGUGGACUGGCCCAAGAGUGAGGGCAGAUAUGGCUUCACUCUUUCCUUCUGUCACUCUCUCCUUAUUUUCUGGCAGGGUCCCAAAUCACAGUUUAUCCCUCUCUGAAAAAUAAGGUGUACUUCUCUACUUCCUAGAACACAACACUCUCAGAAAGUCAAGAAUGAGAGGUAAACCCAGUGUGGUAGUACAUGCCUGAAGUCCCAGCACACAGGGCACUGAAGCGAGAGAGAGACUACCUACCACACCACCAUGGCUAACAUAACCUCAAAAGGUAGCUAUGAUAAUAACUAUAAUAGUAACGAUGCUGGUAUAAGAGAGAGGGACAGGUGUGAAAUUGAGUUGGAAAUCUGGAACCCCAAUAAAAUGGCACAAGGAGAAGUUCUUGGACUGUGACCAUCCAGCUUCAAUAAGAUUGCAGAGCAAUCUGUGCCCAGGGUAAGGCCUACCUCCAACCCUGAUAUCCCUUACUUCUUCCCAGUUUUAUAAUAGCAGAUCAUAAAAUCAAGUAGUUUACUCUAGGCAGAGCUUUUACUAUACCAGGUAUUUUACAUAGACUCAUUAACUCUGGAAGUUGCUAUCUCCCUAUUCAGGUAAGGAUGAUGCAUAGGGAUAUUUAAAUUCAUAGGCCAGGAUAUUUAAAUUCAGCUGAUGGUUGAUAGAGCCAGAGUCCACACCACAUCACAGUUCUGCCCUGCUGUGUAUAGCUAUUCUGUAUUAAGCCACAGAUGAAUGGCUCUCUUUAAAGAUCUGAAGAAAGAGAAUAAUAUCUUCAUUUCACCUGGUCUUUUAGAACUCAGAUUUUCAGUACUUCCAGUAAAGUGACCAUUCAAAAUCAGUUCCCUUCAAGUAUCCCUCCAUACAACCGCAGCACAGUCCUAGGAAGAGGAAAAAAAUUCACUUGUGUUUUUCUAAGAAUGUAUCUGACCGUGUCCUAACCCUCCAGCCCCAAACAAUGGCAUGCAGUUCCUGAGCAGUGAGUUGAAAGAAAGUCCUUGUGAUGGCUACUCUUGUUUGUCAACUUGAAUACAUCUGGAAUCAACUAAAACCCAAAAAUGGAUGGCACACCAGUGAGGGAUUUUUUAUUAAUUUGAAGUAUGAAGAUCCACUUCUAAUCUAGUUCUUGAGAUGGGGGGACAGGGACACACCUUUUCUCUAUGCCGUACCUUCUUCUGUUGGAAGCUGAAUAAGGAAGGAAGCUUUUAUUCUUUGCCUGCUUGCUCUAGCCUUGCUAGCAAAAUCACCCAUUCAUUGGCAUUAGAGCCUAUUUCUUCUGAAUUCCAGCAUAAACUGAAGACCAGCUAAGACAUCCAGCUUGUGGACUUCUGGACUCUUGGACUUCCCAUUCCCAAACAGCUAUGGUUGUAUUAACUAAAAUGCAGCCUGUCAUUAAGUCACUAUAAGUCAUUCAAAUAAAUCCCAUAUAUAUAUACUUGACUCCUCAACCGGUGAUGUUAUUUUUCUUGAGUACAUGGCAUCCUUUCUUCACUUUCUUUUGCCAGCAUAAGGUGCAUUACUUUUCUGAGUCCACAGGCAGAAUUAAGGAUCACAGUUCAGUACUUGGGGCUCCAUUCAUAUAGUGUUCAUAUAGGUCAUUAACAAAAGCAGUUCCCUCACAUCCUCUCCAGCAUAGAAUGCCAUAGGUGUUUUUGAUUCUAGCCAUUCUGACAGGAAUAAGAUGGUAUCUCAGAGUUGUUUUGAUUUGCAUUUCCCUGAUGGCUAAGGAUGUUGAGCACUUUCUUAAGUGUCCUUCAGAAAUUUUAGAUUCCUCUAUUGAGAAUUCUCUAUUUAGCUCUGAACCCAACUUUUUAAUUGGAUUGUUUGGUGUUUUGGUGACUAGCUUCUUGAGUUCAUUGGAUAUUUUGGAAAUCAGCCCUCUGUCACAUGUGGGGUUGGUGAAGAUCUUUUCCCAUUCUGUGGGCUGCCAUUUUGUCUUGUUGACUGUGUCCUUUGCCUUGCAGAAGCUCCUCAGUUUAAGGAGGUCCCAUUUAUUAAUUGUUGAUCUCAAUGUCUGUGCUACUGGUGUUAUGUUCAGGAAGCGGUCUCCUGUACCAAUUCGUUCAAGGGUACAUCCCACUUUCUCUUCUAAGAGGUUCAGUGUGGCUGGAUUUAUGUUGAGGUCUUUCAUCCAUUUGGACUUAAGUUUUGUGCAUGGUGAUAAAUACGGAUAUAUCAGCAAUCUUCUACAUGUCAGCAUCCAGUUAUGCCAGCACCAUUUGUUGAAGACCCUUUCUUUUUUCCAUUGUAUAGCUUUAGCUUCUUUGUAAAAAAUCAGGUGUUCGUAGGUGUGUGGGUUAAUAUCAGAGUUUUCAAUUAGAUUCCAUUGGUCUACCUGUCUAUUUUUGUGCCAAUACCAAACUAUUUUCAGGACUAUAGCUCUAUAAUAGAGAUCGAAGUCAGGGAUGGUGAUGCCUCCAGAAGUUCCUCUAUUGUACAGGGUUGUUUUGGCUAUCCUGGGUCUUUUGUUUUUCCAUAUAAAGUUGAGAAUUGUUCUUACAAGGUCUGUGAAGAAUUGUGUUGGGAUUUUGAUGGGAUUGCAUUGUAUCUGUAGAUUGCUUUUGGCAAGAUGGCCAAUUUUACUAUGUUGAUCCUACCUAUCCAAGAGCAUGGGAGAUUUUUCCAUUGUCUAGAAUCUUCUUUAAUUUCUUUCUUGAAAGACUCAAAAACGGGAACACUCCUCCAUUGCUGGUGGGAGUGCCAACUUGUACGACCACUUUGGAAUUCAGUAUGGCUGUUUCAGUCUA